This 429-nucleotide ribosomal RNA is filed under the name Chloroflexota bacterium. RNAcentral's name for it is "Chloroflexi bacterium partial 16S ribosomal RNA". It matches the Rfam family "Bacterial small subunit ribosomal RNA", at positions 355 to 776 of the family's 1533-position model. Lineage: Bacteria; Bacillati; Chloroflexota. The record is from RNAcentral.
UGGGGAAUAUUGCACAAUGGGCGCAAGCCUGAUGCAGCCAUGCCGCGUGUGUGAAGAAGGCCUUCGGGUUGUAAAGCACUUUCAGCGGGGAGGAAGGCGUUAAGGUUAAUAACCUUGGCGAUUGACGUUACCCGCAGAAGAAGCACCGGCUAACUCCGUGCCAGCAGCCGCGGUAAUACGGAGGGUGCAAGCGUUAAUCGGAAUUACUUGGCGUAAAGCGCACGCAGGCGGUCUGUCAAGUCGGAUGUGAAAUCCCCGGGCUCAACCUGGGAACUGCAUUCGAAACUGGCAGGCUAGAGUCUUGUAGAGGGGGGUAGAAUUCCAGGUGUAGCGGUGAAAUGCGUAGAGAUCUGGAGGAAUACCGGUGGCGAAGGCGGCCCCCUGGACAAAGACUGACGCUCAGGUGCGAAAGCGUGGGGAGCAAACAGG